This is a long non-coding RNA of Nannospalax galili (Upper Galilee mountains blind mole rat), 1114 nucleotides long. RefSeq lists it as uncharacterized. The record is from RefSeq and is a predicted model, not a curated record. The transcript has 4 exons. Lineage: Eukaryota; Metazoa; Chordata; Mammalia; Rodentia; Spalacidae.
GUCGGCCGCAGGCGGUGGCUCGCCCCGGGAUCUGGGUGUGGAGUCCCCGGAGAGGGAAUGUCACGUUGUCCUCGCGGGACUGUUGUGAACCAUGAGAUGCGGCCAGUGAAGUACUAGGCCCGGUUCCGGCCGGGACAUCUCGGCCGCCACCCCCAGCAUCACGCGGGAGCCACACUUAACACAGGCGUUUGCGCAGGCCUCGAGCCUUCCGACGCCACCGGUUUGGGACGGAGCGAGUCCCAGCCCAAGCUUGCUUCCCUGCAGGAGAGCCUCUUUAAGAAGAAGUUUUUAAAACCAUAUCAUCUAUUUUAUGACUGAUCACCGAAAUCCUCAAGAUGAACUGGAUGCUGCAACAGCUGCCCUCUUGGGUUUAAUUGUUUCAUCAUGAAAUACAUAUCUGAAUCAGGAGUAGACAGUUGUGAGGUGCCUCAUUCGCCCAGUCCUGGGAUGCCUACUUUGGAUUGAGGUCACUGAACACCAGGCAGUGUCCAAAUGGUUGGAGACCACUGCACAUGGCCCUGGUCACAUAGACUAGAAGGCCUCAUGACCCCAAUACACACCAAUGCCAGAGUGGGCCUGAAAUGAUGACGACAAUGAUGAUGAUGAUGAUGAUGAUGAUGAUGAUGACGAUGAUGAUAAUUAUAUAUAUGGAAAAUGACUGCCUACUGCUGGGGCUUUGGAGAUAACUCCCUUGGGCCUGCUGCUGGAAAGAAAAGUUGUGACUUCCCACUUUGUCCCCAAGUACCUGAUCUGAAAGUGGUGGUUUCAUUAUAGUUAUUCCCAUUACAUUCAAAUGAUUAACCCCAAGCACCUGAACCAGCUAUAUUCUCGUUGCCCUGGGGCUCACAUCUACAUUGCUUAGCUAGUUAGAUCCUCCCCAUGCUCAUCCUGCCCUGCCUUGGGCUUAGGCCCACUUCCUGCACAUCCCACCUGAGACCUCCAGACUAGCCAAAUGUAGCUAAAAUUCCUUCUGGGAGGUGCAAAUGAUUUCCCGCCCCCUCCUCCUUUGGUCCCUAUGACAAACCAAGGUACAAUCUUGCCAAAUUGCAAUCUGGGAAAUCAGUAAGUAUUGGGCUUAAUUAUAGAGCAGUGAGUGAGAGUCCACUUACAGGAG